This 499-nucleotide ribosomal RNA is filed under the name uncultured bacterium. Its description in RNAcentral is "partial 16S ribosomal RNA". It matches the Rfam family "Bacterial small subunit ribosomal RNA", at positions 29 to 523 of the family's 1533-position model. The record is from RNAcentral.
AUUGAACGCUGGCGGAAUGCUUUACACAUGCAAGUCGAACGGCAGCACGGGGGCAACCCUGGUGGCGAGUGGCGAACGGGUGAGUAAUACAUCGGAACGUGCCCAGUCGUGGGGGAUAACGUAGCGAAAGUUACGCUAAUACCGCAUACGAUCUACGGAUGAAAGCGGGGGACCGUAAGGCCUCGCGCGAUUGGAGCGGCCGAGGUCAGAUUAGGUAGUUGGUGGGGUAAAAGCCCACCAAGGCGACGAUCAGUAGCUGGUCUGAGAGGACGAUCAGCCACACUGGGACUGAGACACGGCCCAGACUGCUACGGGAGGCAGCAGGGGGGAAUUUUGGACAAUGGGGGCAACCCUGAUCCAGCAAUGCCGCGUGAGUGAAGAAGGCCUUCGGGUUGUAAAGCUCUUUUGUCAGGGAAGAAACACCGGCUCUAACACAGUCCGGGAAUGACGGUACCUGAAGAAUAAGCACCGGCUAACUACGUGCCAGCCGCCGCCGUAA